GUGUUUUUCUUUCGCUGCUCUGGUCCUCCUUAUCCACUUGAAAUGCCAUGCUUCUCAAAACUUCGAAACGUCUUCAGCUGAAACGCUUCUCCACUAGGGAUUUCAACUGUGCUGUUGUGUCAUCCCAGCAAGUGAAGACCCCAUUCUACCUUGAGCCACCCUGGCCAUUAGUGGAUUUGUCUGUCACAAUGCCACAAGAGCUUUAGAGGUCAGGCAUUGAUGUUCGGUGAGGAGGUCUGGGGUGCAGUCAGUGUUCCAGUCCAAUGGGAUUGAGGUCCGGUCUCUGAGCUGGACACUAAAGUUCUUCUGCACCAACCUUGGCAAACCAUGUUUUCAUGGAGGGGCAUGUGUCAUGCUGGAACAUGCUUGGGUCUCUUUGAGCCAGU
Molecule: long non-coding RNA, 386 nt
Organism: Hemibagrus wyckioides
Lineage: Eukaryota; Metazoa; Chordata; Actinopteri; Siluriformes; Bagridae
Exons: 3
Source: RefSeq, a predicted model, not a curated record